UGGGGAAUAUUGCACAAUGGGCGCAAGCCUGAUGCAGCCAUGCCGCGUGUGUGAAGAAGGCCUUCGGGUUGUAAAGUACUUUCAGCGGGGAGGAAGGGAGUAAAGUUAAUACCUUUGCUCAUUGACGUUACCCGCAGAAGAAGCACCGGCUAACUCCGUGCCAGCAGCCGCGGUAAUACGGAGGGUGCAAGCGUUAAUCGGAAUUACUGGGCGUAAAGCGCACGCAGGCGGUUUGUUAAGUCAGAUGUGAAAUCCCCGGGCUCAACCUGGGAAAUGCAUCUGAUACUGGCAAGCUUGAGUCUCGUAGAGGGGGGUAGAAUUCCAGGUGUAGCGGUGAAAUGCGUAGAGAUCUGGAGGAAUACCGGUGGCGAAGGCGGCCCCCUGGACGAAGACUGACGCUCAGGUGCGAAAGCGUGGGGAGCAAACAGG
This 429-nucleotide ribosomal RNA is filed under the name Chloroflexota bacterium. RNAcentral's name for it is "Chloroflexi bacterium partial 16S ribosomal RNA". It matches the Rfam family "Bacterial small subunit ribosomal RNA", at positions 355 to 776 of the family's 1533-position model. Lineage: Bacteria; Bacillati; Chloroflexota. The record is from RNAcentral.